This is a long non-coding RNA of Triticum aestivum (bread wheat), 2175 nucleotides long. RefSeq lists it as uncharacterized. The record is from RefSeq and is a predicted model, not a curated record. NCBI's taxonomy places the organism in Eukaryota, Viridiplantae, Streptophyta, Magnoliopsida, Poales, Poaceae. The transcript has 2 exons.
GUUUAUCCCGGCUCGCUAUUCCCAUAUAGGAGGGAUCUCCAUCGCGAUCUGUACGCUCUUGGCCGAAGUCUCUCCAUGUGAUGUUACCCAUCGUCGCAGCCGGAACAUGAUCGCUAUUCUUUUGGCCGACCUCUCAGGAAAUCGAUGUAUGUUGAUUCAUGUUUCGCGGACGCAGGAUGAAGAAGCCUUUGCCUCCCUAUCUCUCCUCUUGGUCAUGGACACAAGGCAGAUUAAGUCGUACUCUCCUCUCCUUCAAGCACGAGAGAGAGGGUUGGAUCCUUCUUGGUGACAACAUAGGCUUCUCCACCCCCAACUCUCGGUCUAUCCUCUUAGUGAACCCCCAAAAGCAUCAGAUAUAUAGCUUCAGGGAGACGAAUUGAUCUUCAGGUCAGGAGAAACUAUGGAUUUUAUGAACGUGUUGGUUUUCAGCCACUACGUCGGCCCUGGCAUCCUAUUCCCCAUGCCUCCUGAUUUGGCCACGGCCACUAACAGGUAUAAUCUCAUAUAUGUCAGCUUGAUCGCACUAGGAUAGGAGCUUGGCUUUUCAUGCAAUUUAAUUUAGUUUGUUUCCUCUAUUGAGAUGUUGUUGUCUGGAUUGAGGUCGGCUGAACAUGCCUUUGCCGCUCCCACUACGAUUUGUUGGAGCUCCUCACAUGUGUUUGCGUUAGAGAAGAAUUUAUGUGCAGACUAACCUCUUUAGAGGGAAUUUUUUGUUCAUCCCUGCUGUAAUUAGGUCUAUCAGAACUAAUAGUUUUCUGUAUAACAAAUUGUGCGCUUCAACCAAUUUGCUCAGACAGCAAGCUGCCGGAGAUAGCCUAUUUCAAUUACAGCUGAGAGAUAACGUGUCUGAAAGUAAAUGCUAUGUUAUUUGCAUUGAAGCAGAUAUGCGGGUUUCUUUUGUUUGCAGGGAGAAGCAGACAGACCUUAGGUGGAGUACUCUUAGCUUUUUUUCAUGUUAUAUAACAGCCUAUUGAACAGUAGCUACAUCCGUACGUAGUUGUUUUCUUAUCAUGGAGUUUAAGCUCUUAUAUAAGUGCUCUACAUGUAGAGAUGGCCUAAUCAGAUGUAUAUAGUUGUACUAUUACAGUGCAAUACAUGAUACAAUAGUCGAUAUUCUGCAAGACACUUGCAGUAAAUAUCUAGCACCCUGCACAGCGAACCACGGGUCGUUUAUCUCUGCUGUUCCAGUGGUGAAAAUUGGAGCAUAUACUCUUGAGUUAAUCAAAUCAUUCAUAGAUAUGAGAGAUAAACAAUACAAAGAGAACUCAAUUUGAUGUGAUUUUGGUUCAGAUCUAGAUAUAGUAACAAUAUAUUGGUAAAUGCACCUGAAAUUCGGAACUAAAAUUAUGCGUACUAUGAAAGAAAAUCAUGUUUCUUGAUAUAUAUAUAUUGUACACACGGUUAAUGCUAUAGCAGUAAAUGAAGUAUAACAGCGGAAUUGCACUAUAUUAGUAAAAGCUUAUUAAUUAUUUACAAACUUGAUUUCUCUUUUUGUUGAAGCUCUUGCUUAACAACUUUUUGUAGAAGUGUUACUUAUGCUUUGUAUAACAAAACUGCAUCUUCCUGCAGCCAAACAGUGUAGCAAGACUGCAUAUGUACCUCUUUUAUUUACACUAAAAUUUGUCAACAAGGUGGAUAAACCUAAUUCCAAUUUCAAUUCUCUCUGAAGAUGGCUACCCGCUUUCACUAAUUACCUUUUCCUUUGACCUGCCAAAAAUGCUUAAGUACGCUUUAAAAUUAAUUUUCAGUGUUUAUGCAUCAUCAGCGUCAUAUACCAUACCAAAAAGCAUGCCGAGAGAAUUUUUAGUUCAGUUGUUACAAACAAUAGUUGGACUAUUCUGAAAUUUUGUUAAAUUAGCCGGCAACUUGGCUAGACUUGAACUACUUAUAGUUUAGCUUUGAUUGCAUACUUUAGUGAUAGCAGACGGUCUUUCUCAUUACAAAUUAUUAUUUGUUCCUGUUGUACAUAUCCACCUGGAAGAUAUUUAAUGCAAGAGGCAGGAGUUUUAAGUUGGAUAGGUAUUGCUCUUUCCCCAUUUUACCUCUUUUCUUUUUCGUCGGCUUUCUUGAAAGAUAACAAGUUGAUGUAGUCUCUAGACAUUGUACGGUGAUCAUAUUUCUCUUUAUAUUCCUUGGUCUGCUAAAAUUUGACUGAUAUGAUAUAUAUUCCUAACA